GUGCUCACGUCAGUAGCACGUGUACUGAAGUCGGAAGGAUACAGCGAAGACGAGCUGGUCCCUGCACAAGGACGACACGCAACCGUGCAAAGCGUUCUCUGUGUUC
This is a small nuclear RNA of Molossus molossus (Pallas's mastiff bat), 106 nucleotides long. The record is from RefSeq and is a predicted model, not a curated record. NCBI's taxonomy places the organism in Eukaryota, Metazoa, Chordata, Mammalia, Chiroptera, Molossidae.